This 1372-nucleotide ribosomal RNA is filed under the name uncultured bacterium. Its description in RNAcentral is "bacterial SSU rRNA". It matches the Rfam family "Bacterial small subunit ribosomal RNA", at positions 28 to 1381 of the family's 1533-position model. The record is from RNAcentral.
GAUGAACGCUGGCGGCGUGCCUAAUACAUGCAAGUCGAGCGAACGGACGAGAAGCUUGCUUCUCUGAUGUUAGCGGCGGACGGGUGAGUAACACGUGGAUAACCUACCUAUAAGACUGGGAUAACUUCGGGAAACCGGAGCUAAUACCGGAUAAUAUUUUGAACCGCAUGGUUCAAAAGUGAAAGACGGUCUUGCUGUCACUUAUAGAUGGAUCCGCGCUGCAUUAGCUAGUUGGUAAGGUAACGGCUUACCAAGGCAACGAUGCAUAGCCGACCUGAGAGGGUGAUCGGCCACACUGGAACUGAGACACGGUCCAGACUCCUACGGGAGGCAGCAGUAGGGAAUCUUCCGCAAUGGGCGAAAGCCUGACGGAGCAACGCCGCGUGAGUGAUGAAGGUCUUCGGAUCGUAAAACUCUGUUAUUAGGGAAGAACAUAUGUGUAAGUAACUGUGCACAUCUUGACGGUACCUAAUCAGAAAGCCACGGCUAACUACGUGCCUGCAGCCGCGGUAAUACGUAGGUGGCAAGCGUUAUCCGGAAUUAUUGGGCGUAAAGCGCGCGUAGGCGGUCUUUUAAGUCUGAUGUGAAAGCCCACGGCUCAACCGUGGAGGGUCAUUGGAAACUGGAAAACUUGAGUGCAGAAGAGGAAAGUGGAAUUCCAUGUGUAGCGGUGAAAUGCGCAGAGAUAUGGAGGAACACCAGUGGCGAAGGCGACUUUCUGGUCUGUAACUGACGCUGAUGUGCGAAAGCGUGGGGAUCAAACAGGAUUAGAUACCCUGGUAGUCCACGCCGUAAACGAUGAGUGCUAAGUGUUAGGGGGUUUCCGCCCCUUAGUGCUGCAGCUAACGCAUUAAGCACUCCGCCUGGGGAGUACGACCGCAAGGUUGAAACUCAAAGGAAUUGACGGGGACCCGCACAAGCGGUGGAGCAUGUGGUUUAAUUCGAAGCAACGCGAAGAACCUUACCAAAUCUUGACAUCCUUUGACAACUCUAGAGAUAGAGCCUUCCCCUUCGGGGGACAAAGUGACAGGUGGUGCAUGGUUGUCGUCAGCUCGUGUCGUGAGAUGUUGGGUUAAGUCCCGCAACGAGCGCAACCCUUAAGCUUAGUUGCCAUCAUUAAGUUGGGCACUCUAAGUUGACUGCCGGUGACAAACCGGAGGAAGGUGGGGAUGACGUCAAAUCAUCAUGCCCCUUAUGAUUUGGGCUACACACGUGCUACAAUGGACAAUACAAAGGGCAGCGAAACCGCGAGGUCAAGCAAAUCCCAUAAAGUUGUUCUCAGUUCGGAUUGUAGUCUGCAACUCGACUACAUGAAGCUGGAAUCGCUAGUAAUCGUAGAUCAGCAUGCUACGGUGAAUACGUUCCCGGGUCU